ACGUAGGUGGCAAGCGUUGUCCGGAAUUAUUGGGCGUAAAGCGCGCGCAGGCGGUCCUUUAAGUCUGAUGUGAAAGCCCACGGCUCAACCGUGGAGGGUCAUUGGAAACUGGGGGACUUGAGUGCAGAAGAGGAAAGUGGAAUUCCACGUGUAGCGGUGAAAUGCGUAGAGAUCGGGAGGAAGGCCGGUGGCGAAGGCGGCGCUCUGGAACAUUUCUGACGCUGAGGCUCGAAAGCGUGGGGAGCAAACAGGA
RNAcentral lists this ribosomal RNA (253 nucleotides) under uncultured prokaryote. RNAcentral's name for it is "partial 16S ribosomal RNA". It matches the Rfam family "Bacterial small subunit ribosomal RNA", at positions 525 to 777 of the family's 1533-position model. The record is from RNAcentral.